RNAcentral lists this ribosomal RNA (497 nucleotides) under uncultured bacterium. RNAcentral describes it as "partial 16S ribosomal RNA". It matches the Rfam family "Bacterial small subunit ribosomal RNA", at positions 28 to 507 of the family's 1533-position model. The record is from RNAcentral.
GAUGAACGCUGGCGGCGUGCCCAAUACAUGCAAGUCGAGCGAACAGACGAGGAGCUUGCUCCUCUGACGUUAGCGGCGGACGUGUGAGUAACACGUGGAUAACCUACCUAUAAGACUGGGAUAACUUCGGGAAACCGGAGCUAAUACCGGAUAAUAUAUUGAACCGCAUGGUUCAAUAGUGAAAGACGGUUUUGCUGUCACUUAUAGAUGGAUCCGCGCCUCAUUAGCUAGUUGGUAAGGUAACGGCUUACCAAGGCAACGAUGCGUAGCCGACCUGAGAGGGUGAUCGGCCACCCUGGAACUGAGACACGGUCCAGACUCCUGCGGGAGGGAGCAGUAGGGAAUCUUACGCAAUGGGCGAAAGCUUGACGGAGCAACGCCGCGUGAGUGAUGAAGGUCUUCGGAUCGUAAAACUCUGUUAUUAGGGAAGAACAAAUGUGUAAGUAACUAUGCACGUCUUGACGGUACCUAAUCAGAAAGCCACGGCUAACUACGUG